Molecule: unclassified non-coding RNA, 239 nt
Filed under: fungal sp.
Lineage: Eukaryota; Fungi
Description: partial internal transcribed spacer region
Rfam family: Eukaryotic small subunit ribosomal RNA (bases 1-45)
Source: RNAcentral
AGUCGUAACAAGGUUUCCGUAGGUGAACCUGCGGAAGGAUCAUUAGCAAAUCAUCAGGGAUGUCUCCCCGUAGGGGAGGCAUCAUCUGUUCCGGGGAGAAAGUCUGUAUGGCUCUCUCUCUGUGAUUCCGGGGGGAAGGUCUGACUUUCUCCCUGUGUCCAAGUGCUCCACGGAAAUGUAAAUCUCAACACCAAAACAAAAACAUAAAACAACUUUUAACAAUGGAUCUCUGGGCUCCU